Molecule: ribosomal RNA, 250 nt
Filed under: uncultured bacterium
Lineage: Bacteria
Description: partial 16S ribosomal RNA
Rfam family: Bacterial small subunit ribosomal RNA
Source: RNAcentral
UACGAAGGGGCUAGCGUUGCUCGGAAUUACUGGGCGUAAAGCGCACGUAGGCGGAUUGUUAAGUCGGGGGUGAAAUCCUGGAGCUCAACUCCAGAACUGCCUUCGAUACUGGCGUAUCUAGAGUCCGGGAGAGGUGAGUGGAACUGCGAGUGUAGAGGUGAAAUUCGUAGAUAUUCGCAAGAACACCAGUGGCGAAGGCGGCUCACUGGCCCGGUAUGACGCUGAGGUGCGAAAGCGUGGGAGCAACAGG